This 253-nucleotide ribosomal RNA is filed under the name uncultured bacterium. Its description in RNAcentral is "partial 16S ribosomal RNA". It matches the Rfam family "Bacterial small subunit ribosomal RNA", at positions 524 to 776 of the family's 1533-position model. The record is from RNAcentral.
UACGAAGGGGGCUAGCGUUGCUCGGAAUCACUGGGCGUAAAGCGCACGUAGGCGGCUUUUUAAGUCAGGGGUGAAAUCCUGGAGCUCAACUCCAGAACUGCCUUUGAUACUGAGAAGCUUGAGUCCGGGAGAGGUGAGUGGAACUGCGAGUGUAGAGGUGAAAUUCGUAGAUAUUCGCAAGAACACCAGUGGCGAAGGCGGCGUCCUGGCCUGCGACUGACGCUGUGGCGCGAAAGCUAGGGGAGCGAACGGG